RNA transcript from Onychostruthus taczanowskii (white-rumped snowfinch), 3964 nucleotides. It is a transcript of the gene named NADH-ubiquinone oxidoreductase chain 2-like, with no coding region annotated. The record is from RefSeq and is a predicted model, not a curated record. Lineage: Eukaryota; Metazoa; Chordata; Aves; Passeriformes; Passeridae. The transcript has a single exon.
UCUCUUAGCAAUCUCCGUUUGAACCCCACUCCCCCUUCCGUUUUCCCUAGCAGACCUAAACUUAGGUCUACUAUUCCUGCUAGCUAUGUCAAGCCUAGCAGUAUACUCAAUUCUGUGGUCGGGGUGGGCUUCCAACUCAAAAUAUGCCCUGAUCGGAGCACUACGGGCUGUAGCCCAAACAAUCUCUUACGAGGUAACCUUAGCAAUCAUCCUGCUAUCUGUAAUCCUCUUAAGCGGAAACUACACCCUUGGCACCCUUGCAGUCACUCAAGAGCCCCUCUACUUAAUCUUCUCCUGCUGACCUCUAGCCAUAAUAUGAUAUGUAUCAACACUCGCCGAAACUAACCGCGCCCCCUUUGACCUAACAGAAGGGGAAUCAGAGCUGGUCUCUGGGUUCAAUGUAGAGUAUGCAGCCGGCCCCUUUGCCCUUUUCUUCCUGGCCGAAUAUGCCAACAUUAUGCUCAUGAAUACACUAACCGCCAUUAUGUUUUUUAACCCAAGCUUCCUAAACCCACCUCAAGAACUAUUCCCCAUCGUACUGGCUACAAAAGUACUGCUCCUGUCAGCAGGGUUCCUAUGAGUCCGUGCUUCCUACCCUCGAUUCCGAUAUGACCAACUAAUACACUUACUAUGAAAAAACUUCCUACCACUCACACUAGCCCUAUGUCUAUGACACACUAGCAUGACAAUCUGCUACGCAGGCCUACCGCCCUACCUAAGGACCCCGGAAAUGUGCCUGAACACUAAGGGUCACUAUGAUAAAGUGAACAUAGAGGUAUACUAGUCCUCUCAUUUCCUUAACCCUUAGAAAAGCAGGAGUCGAACCUACACUAGAGGAAUCAAAAUCCUCCAUACUUCCUUUAUAUUACUUUCUAGUAGGGUCAGCUAAACAAGCUAUCGGGCCCAUACCCCGAAAAUGAUGGUUCAACUCCUUCCCCUGCUAAUGAACCCCCAAGCAAAACUAGUAUUCAUCUUCAGCCUGCUCCUGGGAACAACUAUCACAAUGUCAAGCAACCACUGAAUCAUAGCCUGAACCGGCCUUGAAAUCAACACGCUUGCCAUCCUCCCUCUAAUCUCAAAAUCUCAUCAUCCCCGAGCUAUUGAAGCUGCCACCAAAUAUUUCCUAGUGCAAGCAGCUGCCUCCGCCCUAGUACUAUUCUCCAGCAUAACCAACGCAUGACAUACUGGACAAUGGGACAUCACCCAACUCACACACCCAAUCUCAUGCCUAAUCCUAACUUCAGCGAUUGCAAUAAAACUGGGACUGGUACCAUUCCAUUUCUGAUUCCCAGAAGUACUUCAGGGCUCCCCUCUUACCACUGGACUCCUACUAUCUACUGCGAUAAAACUUCCACCAAUUACAUUACUAUACAUAACCUCACCCUCCCUAAACACCACACUCCUGACCACCAUGGCUAUUCUUUCAACAGCUCUAGGGGGGUGAAUAGGCCUUAACCAAACACAAAUCCGAAAAAUCCUAGCCUUCUCUUCUAUUUCCCACCUAGGCUGAAUAGCAAUCAUUAUUGUCUACAACCCAAAACUCACUCUACUCAACUUCUAUCUAUAUACCCUAAUAACUGCAACAGUAUUUCUCACUUUAAACUCAAUCAAAGUCCUAAAAUUAUCUACCCUAAUAACCGCAUGAACUAAAGUACCCUCACUAAACGCAAUACUACUUCUAACCCUGCUCUCACUCGCAGGACUCCCCCCACUAACAGGGUUCCUACCCAAAUGACUCAUCAUCCAAGAACUAACCAAACAAGACAUAGCCCCAACAGCAACAAUCCUCUCCCUUCUAUCCUUACUCGGACUAUUCUUCUACUUACGCCUAGCGUACUGCACGACAAUUACACUCCCUCCACAUACCACAAAUCACAUGAAAUUAUGACACACAAACAAGCCAACCAGCACCCUGAUCGCUAUCCUGGCUACUAUGUCCAUCAUACUUCUUCCCAUCUCCCCAAUGAUCCUUACUAUUAUCUAAGAAACUUAGGAUUACCCAAACCGAAGGCCUUCAAAGCCUUAAACAAGAGUGAGACUCUCUUAGUUUCUGCUAAAGUCCGCAGGACACUACCCUGCAUCCCCUGAAUGCAACUCAGAUACUUUAAUUAAGCUAGGACCUUAUUCUAAUUCCCUAAGCAGAUGGGCUUCGAUCCCAUAACACUAUAGUUAACAGCUAUAUGCCCAAACCAACAGGCUUCUGCCUAAGGCUCCGGUACAUAACUAAUGCACAUCAAUGAGCUUGCAACUCACUAUGAACUUCACUACAGAGCCGAUAAGAAGAGGAAUUAAACCCCUGUAAAAAGGACUACAGCCUAACGCUUAUACACUCAGCCAUCUUACCCGUGACAUUCAUUACCCGAUGAUUAUUCUCAACCAACCACAAAGAUAUUGGAACUCUGUACCUAAUCUUCGGCGCAUGAGCCGGAAUAGUAGGUACCGCCCUAAGCAUACUCAUUCGAGCAGAACUAGGACAACCCGGAGCCCUUCUAGGAGACGACCAAGUAUACAACGUAGUUGUCACAGCCCACGCCUUCGUAAUAAUCUUCUUCAUAGUUAUACCAAUUAUGAUUGGAGGAUUUGGAAACUGACUAGUUCCCUUAAUAAUCGGAGCACCAGACAUAGCAUUCCCACGAAUAAAUAAUAUAAGCUUCUGACUACUACCUCCAUCCUUUCUCCUCUUACUAGCAUCCUCCACAGUAGAGGCAGGAGUAGGUACAGGUUGAACAGUAUACCCACCACUAGCUGGUAACCUGGCCCACGCCGGAGCCUCAGUAGACCUAGCAAUCUUCUCCCUGCACCUAGCCGGCAUCUCAUCCAUCCUGGGUGCAAUCAACUUUAUCACAACAGCAAUCAACAUAAAACCCCCUGCCCUCUCACAAUACCAAACACCUCUAUUCGUCUGAUCUGUACUAAUUACCGCAGUACUCCUGCUCCUGUCACUACCAGUUCUAGCCGCAGGCAUUACAAUACUUCUUACAGAUCGUAACCUCAAUACUACAUUUUUCGACCCUGCAGGUGGAGGAGACCCAGUCCUAUACCAACAUCUAUUCUGAUUCUUCGGACACCCAGAAGUAUACAUCCUGAUCCUGCCAGGAUUUGGGAUCAUCUCGCACGUCGUAACCUACUACGCAGGAAAAAAAGAACCAUUUGGAUACAUAGGAAUAGUAUGAGCGAUACUAUCUAUCGGUUUCUUAGGGUUUAUUGUCUGAGCCCACCACAUGUUCACAGUAGGAAUGGACGUUGAUACCCGAGCAUACUUCACAUCCGCUACAAUAAUCAUUGCCAUUCCAACAGGCAUUAAAGUAUUUAGUUGAUUAGCCACCCUACACGGAGGAACAAUCAAAUGAGACCCACCAAUACUAUGAGCCCUAGGAUUCAUCUUCCUAUUCACCAUCGGAGGACUGACAGGAAUCGUUCUAGCAAACUCCUCACUAGACAUCGCCCUGCACGAUACUUACUACGUAGUAGCCCACUUCCACUAUGUCCUAUCAAUAGGAGCAGUAUUCGCAAUCCUGGCCGGCUUCACACACUGAUUCCCCCUAUUCACUGGGUACACCCUGCACUCAACAUGGGCCAAAACACACUUUGGAGUAAUGUUCGUAGGCGUAAACCUAACCUUCUUCCCCCAACAUUUCCUAGGCCUAGCCGGAAUACCACGACGAUACUCAGACUACCCUGAUGCCUACACAUUAUGAAACACUAUCUCCUCAGUAGGAUCCCUCAUUUCCCUAACAGCCGUAAUCAUGCUAGUAUUUAUCAUCUGAGAAGCCUUUGCAUCCAAACGCAAAGCCACACAACCAGAACUAACAAGCACCAAUGUUGAAUGAAUCCACGGCUGCCCACCCCCAUUCCACACCUUUGAAGAACCAGCCUUCGUCCAAGUCCAAGAAAGGAAGGAGUCGAACCCCCAUAUGUUGGUUUCAAGCCAACCGCAUAGACCACUUAUGCUUCUUUCUCAUUA